GGCACUGUAGCUUAGUGGUUAAGGCGGCUGUCUUGUGAACAGGAGAUCCUGGGUUUGAUUCCCAGCAGCGCCU
Etheostoma cragini (Arkansas darter) is the source of this 73-nucleotide non-coding RNA. The record is from the annotation of a RefSeq genome assembly. Lineage: Eukaryota; Metazoa; Chordata; Actinopteri; Perciformes; Percidae.